Cinara cedri is the source of this 274-nucleotide non-coding RNA. Lineage: Eukaryota; Metazoa; Arthropoda; Insecta; Hemiptera; Aphididae. The record is from the annotation of a GenBank genome assembly.
AAACAGAAAUCCGCUUAAAAUUAUUCAAGAAAAUCGUUGGAUAAAUGAUAAAUGAAAUAUUCUGUAUAUUUUAUGUAAGUAGUAAUUUAAAAUACGAUAAUAAUACUAUUACUGUACAUCGAAACAACUAUAACGUAUUUGCAAGACUCGAUAAUAGUGAAAAUCCGUAUUGAAUGCCAACAUCAUCUGGACCUUUCGAUUUUGAGAACGUUAUAAAUUUAUUGUCUAGAAAGUAACCCGAGAUACGAUAAAUUGGGUUAAAAAUGUGAUAUUG